AGCGAACGCUGGCGGCAGGCUUAACACAUGCAAGUCGAAAGCCCCGCAAGGGGAGUGGCAGACGGGUGAGUAACACGUGGGAACGUACCCUUUGGUUCGGAAUAACUUGGGGAAACUCAAGCUAAUACCGGAUAAGCCCUUAUGGGGAAAGGUUUACUGCCGAAGGAUCGGCCCGCGUCUGAUUAGCUAGUUGGUGAGGUAACGGCUCACCAAGGCGACGAUCAGUAGCUGGUAUGAGAGGAUGAUCAGCCACACUGGGACUGAGACACGGCCCAGACUCCUACGGGAGGCAGCAGUGGGGAAUAUUGGACAAUGGGGGCAACCCUGAUCCAGCCAUGACGCGUGAGUGAUGAAGGCCUUAGGGUUGUAAAGCUCUUUUACCCGGGACGAUAAUGACUGUACCGGGAGAAUAAGCCCCGGCUAACUUCGUGCCAGCCGCCGCCGUAA
Molecule: ribosomal RNA, 447 nt
Filed under: uncultured bacterium
Lineage: Bacteria
Description: partial 16S ribosomal RNA
Rfam family: Bacterial small subunit ribosomal RNA
Source: RNAcentral